RNAcentral lists this long non-coding RNA (525 nucleotides) under Homo sapiens (human). Its description in RNAcentral is "long independently transcribed non-coding RNA 112 (LINC00112)". Lineage: Eukaryota; Metazoa; Chordata; Mammalia; Primates; Hominidae. The record is from RNAcentral.
GAGCUUCCGCAGAGAUCCUGCAGAUGUGAUUCGAGUCUUCCAGCAACACCACCUCACUCUGCUUUGCACAAUCACUCCACCUCCCCACAUGUUGCGGAGAUUCUCCUGGGGAUUCACACUCUUCCUACUUGCAGCUGUGACACGGGAAACAUCCUCCACCAGGUCUUCUCUCACAGUGUGGCCUCUGCGCACAGGUUAUCCACCUGUAGACCUGGACGGGACCCUCGAGGCUCCCUACUCUGACCAUCUGGUUUUAUAGUUGAGGAACCAGAAGCCGAGGCAGGGUCUCGACGGUGAAGAAGCAGGCUGUUUCCAUCUUCAGGAUACAAGCCAUCUGCGCAUAGGAAGAGGGUCCAGAGGCUCAUCUGGAAUCCCUCCUCACUCACUGGACGGAGGACCUGACCCCGUUCCCAUCAUUGGUUCUGAAUCCAUCAGCCCAGCAAGACAGGUGUCUCCAGCAAGUUCUGUAAAAUACAACCAUAGCCGGGCCUGGAGUCAGCCCCCAAUAAAGGGUUCACCAUGGAA